RNAcentral lists this ribosomal RNA (301 nucleotides) under uncultured bacterium. Its description in RNAcentral is "partial 16S ribosomal RNA". It matches the Rfam family "Bacterial small subunit ribosomal RNA", at positions 509 to 807 of the family's 1533-position model. The record is from RNAcentral.
CAGUCGCCGCGGUAAGACAGAGGUCCCGAGCGUUGUUCGGAUUCAUUGGGCGUAAAGGGUGUGUAGGAGGCCAGGUAAGUCAGGUGUGAAAUCUCAGAGCUUAACUCUGAAACUGCGCUUGAUACUGCUUGGCUAGAGGAUCGGAGGGGGUAACGGAAUUUAUGGUGUAGCAGUGAAAUGCGUAGAUAUCAUAAGGAACACCGGUGGCGAAGGCGGUUACCUGGAAGAUUCCUGACUCUGAAACACGAAAGCCAGGGGAGCAAACGGGAUUAGAUACCCCCGUAGUCCCUGUCUCUUAUAC